Molecule: ribosomal RNA, 466 nt
Filed under: uncultured bacterium
Lineage: Bacteria
Description: partial 16S ribosomal RNA
Rfam family: Bacterial small subunit ribosomal RNA
Source: RNAcentral
GACGAACGCUGGCGGCGUGCUUAACACAUGCAAGUCGAACGGAAAGGCCCUGCUUGCAGGGUACUCGAGUGGCGAACGGGUGAGUAACACGUGGGUGAUCUGCCCUGCACUUCGGGAUAAGCUUGGGAAACUGGGUCUAAUACCGGAUAGGAACCAUCUUUAGUGUGGUGGUUGGAAAGUUUUUUCGGUGUAGGAUGAGCUCGCGGCCUAUCAGCUUGUUGGUGGGGUAAUGGCCUACCAAGGCGGCGACGGGUAGCCGGCCUGAGAGGGUGUACGGCCACAUUGGGACUGAGAUACGGCCCAGACUCCUACGGGAGGCAGCAGUGGGGAAUAUUGCACAAUGGGCGCAAGCCUGAUGCAGCGACGCCGCGUGGGGGAUGAAGGCCUUCGGGUUGUAAACUCCUUUCGCUAGGGACGAAGCUUUGUUGCGACGGUACCUAGAUAAGAAGCACCGGCUAACUACGUG